CCCCUCGCCAAUCGGAUUCGUAACGUCGCGCGCUCCCAACGGCGCUAGUCUGACGUUUUCCGUUACAAUCGAGUGGACGGGAGAUCGUGGGCGAUCGUGGUCAACGGUCAACGGUCAACGGUAGCGAUCUCGCAGUUUAUUUCGUACGUAGCGCGCGCGCGCGCGUUCUCCCGAUUACGGCGAGCUUCGGAGCAUCGGCAACUACGACGAUUCCCUUCUUUCGCGAGCGAUCGACGACGACGACGACGACGAGGACGACCGUCGCACCACCGUUCGCCCUUUCAUCUGUAUGCCUCGCGUACGCCCCCACCGUCACCGAUUUUCCAUGAAUGUUAAUAUUGUCUUCCUAGAGCCACUGGUAAUGCAAAUAUUCUUCCUUGAUCUGAAAUCUGCAAGAUGGUUUUCGUCAUCCAGUUCCAAUUUUAGCUGAGAGUAAUAUAGAAAUGUGAGCAGUGACUGCAUAUUCACAAAUGGCACAGAGCAUUCACUUUUACAUCAUUUAUGAAUAAAGCGAAACGAAAUCGGUCCAGCUUGGUGGUAAUGCGGGGAUGUGGAUCUGCUUCGACCCAACAGAAAGCCGAGUAGGCUGGGGUACUUCCAUUUCAUUUGUUGUGCUUCUGUACUGGACCUCCAUUACCAUCGAUGCCAGUUUAACAAAUGCAGCCGCGUCCAAUGUCCCACAUAGUACCGUCACGUCGGAGGUAUCGCUACCAGCGUCGGCACACCACGAUAACGACGAAUGCAGGAAUGUGACCACUGACAAUAGAGAGGGUACUGGACUGUCAGUGGUCAGCCAUGGAUCCGGUUAUCCUCAUUCGCCGAUAGUGCCUCCAACUUUUCUGUACGGAGCUCUUACCUGCCAACCCUAUCAAGGAAUUUACGUGAACCACAUCUACUUUCAACUCGCAAAUGCCUUCUUCCUAUUGUCUCACCUUGCACCAAGCGGCAUACAUGGUGUACUCUAUUUAAGGUGCACUCUACUCGUGGGCUGUGCCUUUCUUGCUUUGUGGGGCUGGACAAUAGCUUGCUGGCUGGAUGCUGCUCUCUGGAAUGCUCUCUUUGUUGCCAUCAACUUCGUCCAUGUAUGCACGCUUCUUUACAAGCUCAGGCCUAUCAAGUUUACCAGGGAAAUUGAAGAGGUAUACAUUGCAGUGUUCCAGCCACUACGGGUUUCUCGUCAUCAAUUCAAAAAAGUAUUAAAUUGCAUGAAGGUCAUUCGCCAGUUGAAGUAUCAAGAGGUUUAUGCACAAGAAAAAGUGACCAAAGUCGAUUCUUUAUCAUUGGUGCUGUCGGGAAAAUUAGUUGUCUCACAAAGUGGGAGAGCAUUGCAUAUUGUCUUCCCACAUCAGUUCCUGGAUUCUCCAGAAUGGUUUGGUGUUUCGACAGACGAAUAUUUCCAGGUAUCCAUAACAGCUAUGGAAGAAUCGAGAAUAUUAUUAUGGCAUAGGGACAAACUAAAAUUAAGCAUAAUUAGCGAUCAAUUCCUGCAGGCAGUGUUUGAUCACAUCCUGGGAAGAGAUGUAGUUAAGAAAUUGAUGCAGGUCAGUGAAACAAUGGCUGCUAGCAAUCAUCAGCAGCAAAAUGGACAGAUAAUUGGUCUGGGUGGAAUAGGAGCCUUAGAAAAUGAUGCUGAUACGAAACUUUUUGUUGUAAAAAAGACUGGUGACAGUCAAGGCAUUACUGCUCUCAUUAGUCGUCAACUUCAAGAAGAGAGAAUGCCACUACUAUACACGAGCCAAGAAGUAUUGAAUAAUACCUUACACCAUACAAAUCCUUUACGUGUACCAUCCUAUACACUCCCUUCACAUCCUAUGUCGUACAAUGUUCAGACUUCACUGUAAUAUCCUUGCCUACCAAUUGUGCAAUCUAGCACAAAUCGUGUGCUGUACAUGUUAUGUUCCUGCAAUGGAUGCGUAUACAUUAUACAAAUGUCAAAGAGUAACAUCAUUUAUUAUUCUUCCUGGAUAUCAUAUUAAAAGCGGCAGGAGAUCCAAAUGCUUGGAGAUUGGGAAGAAUUGAAGAGACUGAUCAUGAAACACCUGUUUAAUGGAAGGAUUAUCAAAUCGAUGUCAUCCUCGACAGUCAAUA
Molecule: RNA transcript, 2088 nt
Organism: Camponotus floridanus (Florida carpenter ant)
Lineage: Eukaryota; Metazoa; Arthropoda; Insecta; Hymenoptera; Formicidae
Gene name: blood vessel epicardial substance
Exons: 10
Source: RefSeq, a predicted model, not a curated record